CCUACAGGAGGCAGCAGUGGGGAAUAUUGCACAAUGGGCGAAAGCCUGAUGCAGCGACGCCGCGUGAGUGAAGAAGUAUUUCGGUAUGUAAAGCUCUAUCAGCAGGGAAGAAAAUGACGGUACCUGAUUAAGAAUCCCCGGCUAACUACGGGCCAGCUGCCGCGGUAAUACGGAGGGAGCAGGCGUUAUCCGGAUUUACUGGGUGUAAAGGGAGCGUAAGCGGCAGUACACGUCUGGAGGGAAAUGCCGGGGCUUAACCCCGGAACUGCCGUUGAAACUGGGCACCUAGAGUGGAGGAGAGGUAAGUGGAAUUCGCGGUGUAGCGGUGAAAUGCGUAGAUAUUAGGAGGAACUCC
Molecule: ribosomal RNA, 355 nt
Filed under: uncultured bacterium
Lineage: Bacteria
Description: partial 16S ribosomal RNA
Rfam family: Bacterial small subunit ribosomal RNA
Source: RNAcentral